Molecule: ribosomal RNA, 251 nt
Filed under: uncultured prokaryote
Description: partial 16S ribosomal RNA
Rfam family: Bacterial small subunit ribosomal RNA
Source: RNAcentral
ACGUAGGAGACGAGCGUUAUCCGGAUUCACUGGGCGUAAAGCGUGCGCAGGCGGUUGUGCAAGAUAGAUGUGAAAUCCCCGGGCUCAACCUGGGAAUUGCAUUUGUGACUGCACGACUGGAGUGCGGCAGAGGGGGAUGGAAUUCCGCGUGUAGCAGUGAAAUGCGUAGAGAUGUGGAGGAACACCGAUGGCGAAGGCAGCCCCCUGGGUCGACACUGACGCUCAUGCACGAAAGCGUGGGGAGCAAACAG